This 81-nucleotide transfer RNA is filed under the name Neotessella volvocina. RNAcentral describes it as "tRNA-Leu". It matches the Rfam family "tRNA". Rfam says of the family: Transfer RNA (tRNA) molecules are approximately 80 nucleotides in length. Their secondary structure includes four short double-helical elements and three loops (D, anti-codon, and T loops). Lineage: Eukaryota; Synurophyceae; Synurales; Neotessellaceae. The record is from RNAcentral.
GCGGAUGUGGCGUAAUUGGUAGACGCUCUAGACUUAGAAUCUAGUGAAAUUUUCGUGAGAGUUCAAGUCUCUCCAUCCGCA